RNAcentral lists this long non-coding RNA (706 nucleotides) under Anser brachyrhynchus (Pink-footed goose). Its description in RNAcentral is "lncRNA (ENSABRG00000001595.1)". Lineage: Eukaryota; Metazoa; Chordata; Aves; Anseriformes; Anatidae. The record is from RNAcentral.
UAUGUAGUAAGUAGAUUGCCUAAUUCCAUCUAUUUCAUUUCAAAUAUCUCACAUUUUCUUAUUUAGGAUCAUCAACAUGUUUUUACAUUAAUUAUUUAACUACCAUUUCCAGUCUUUUAGUCAGGCACACUUCUGCCUACUCAGGGCACAAUUAGUCACUGCAUUAUUAUAGAUUUAUACCAGCGUAAGUGAACAAAAAGCAAUUUGCACAUUUUGAACACAGUUACAUUUUGUUCUGAUUUUUUUUUUACCCUGAAAAUUGUCUUUCAACUUCACAUUAAAAUGUUGUUUUUCAGGAUGUGAUAACUAAGCCUUAUGCAGUUGUUUUCUUAUUUUAGAUCCUGAAUUACUUUACCUCCACUUGACUAUUGAACCCUUCUCAUCCACCAGUAGCAAGAAGACAAUACAGUUCAUUUGUCAGUUUUGAAAGAAAUCAGACGUUUGAGAGGUCGCAAAUAAUGGUAAAUUCCAGAAUGCCAUUUUAAAGAUGAUCAUCAAAAGCUUCCUUCUGGCUCAAAUACUGUACUGCCUUUGUGUGAAAAUAAGGGCAUGCGCAUGGUGUACUUCUGGCUUUUGCUUCCCACGUGGAGAUAAAAGUAUCUUCUAGAGACAUUUGGAGCCAGCAAACACUUCCACUGCCUACGGCAUAGCUCUGUCUUUAAAGUAUGUUCUGACCCCUUACCUUUCCUAAAAUAGCUUUUAGACU